This 649-nucleotide long non-coding RNA is filed under the name Medicago truncatula (barrel medic). RNAcentral's name for it is "long non-coding RNA (MTRU_LNC001879)". The record is from RNAcentral. Lineage: Eukaryota; Viridiplantae; Streptophyta; Magnoliopsida; Fabales; Fabaceae.
AAAAAAAAAGGACAAAACUUAUAUGUAGUUACAUAGGUCCAUUUGUUUACUAUUCUCAAAUAGAAAUAUGACACCUGGACAAUUUAAUUUAAAUUCAUUUAGAUGAUUAACCUCCGUUAGUUUCGUCUUUCCAAUCGUUUCGUCUUUGCAGCCCAUCAAUUGAACUUCUCUGCCAAUUGUCACCAUCCAAUGCCAACUUCAUUCUCGACGACAAAUCACCACCUCUAAGAACUGAUGAUGGCAAAACCCCACCACGUUACAUAUCUUUAAUGUAUAAUAACACUCAUAUUUGUCAUUCACAGAUCCCGCGAUGCAACAUUGGAAACGAAAUCUCAUUAAAACAAUAAAAGAAACCCCACCAAAGGGUUUUGCUGCGUUUGUCACAUUGUUCAUGAUGAGAGUGCAAUUAGGUUUGUUUUUGCGAAGUAUUAUAUAUGAUGAGCAGUUAUGAUCGUUUUUGCGAAGUAUUACAUAGGAUGAUGGGGCUCAAGAAGAGGGAGAAGUGGGCUAAUAUUGCUAUGUGGAGGUCACGAAAAGCAAUAGUCUAUGUGGAUAUUGUUGGCCACAUUAGAAGAAAAUGAAAAGAUGAUUGGUUUUUUUCGGUUAUUUCUUGCAAUUGAGGGAGUGGACUUAAAGAGAAGUUUUUUUU